RNAcentral lists this ribosomal RNA (468 nucleotides) under uncultured bacterium. RNAcentral describes it as "partial 16S ribosomal RNA". It matches the Rfam family "Bacterial small subunit ribosomal RNA", at positions 28 to 507 of the family's 1533-position model. The record is from RNAcentral.
GACGAACGCUGGCGGCGUGCUUAACACAUGCAAGUCGAACGGAAAGGCCCUGCUUUUGUGGGGUGCUCGAGUGGCGAACGGGUGAGUAACACGUGAGUAACCUGCCCUUGACUUUGGGAUAACUUCAGGAAACUGGGGCUAAUACCGGAUAGGAGCUCCUGCUGCAUGGUGGGGGUUGGAAAGUUUCGGCGGUUGGGGAUGGACUCGCGGCUUAUCAGCUUGUUGGUGGGGUAGUGGCUUACCAAGGCUUUGACGGGUAGCCGGCCUGAGAGGGUGACCGGCGACAUUGGGACUGAGAGACGGCCCAGACGCCAACGGGAGGCAGCAGGGGGGAAUAUUGCACAGUAGGCGGAAGCGUGAGGCAGAAACGCCGCGUGCGGGAUGACGGCCUGCGGGUUGUAAACCGCUUUCGCCUGUGACGAAGCGUGAGUGACGGUAAUGGGUAAAGAAGCACCGGCUAACUACGUG